UUUGCCGUUUGAAAAAUAUUAAGUUUUAAAAUGCAAAAAUGUUGAUUUUUUUGAGUGUUUUUUUACGAAAUUCCACCUACAUUGACGUUGUCCAUCUCUUUCUCUACAUACUCAUGUUGAUAGGCUUACUGGAUGAUUAGUGUAUAUUUAGCCAAUACAAAUUUUAAAGUGUAUGUAAAUUAAAGGCCACUUUCGAAACCUAUUUUAGAACCUCGUAAAACAAUCCGGCAACACAUGCAAAAAUAGAUACGAAUAUUGUUUUAUUCUUCACGGAAUGACAAUUUUCAUCAGUUAUUCCAUUUCUGCAUAGUUACUUUAUUUGUAUGGCUUUGCAUAUACACUCAGUUUCUUUGAAUCAGAAUCAGAAAGUAGAAACUUGAAAGGUUUAUAUAAAAAAGCAAAAAAAAAUUAAUUCUUAAAAAAAAACAGCUACAAGCAAUCAUGUGCGAGGUGCAAAAGGUAUUCGACGGACUGUUCCAGACCAUGUCCAGUUCUAGGGAUAACCGUCCCAGCAAAGCAAUAGAAGUAGUCAACGAGUUAAAAUGCUGUAACUGCUACCAUGACAAACGAAUAAACGUCACCGCGGAGGCUAUAAAGAAGCCGCCGGUCCCCAAAAAGUUCAAUAAGAAGAAAGUUCUCUUCCUCUGUGGGGCAAUACUUGCCUGGACGUUGAUAUGCAAUGACUGUACCAUCAAGUAGCCCAUGCGAACCCAAGCCAAAGACUGUUACGCGCGGAACCCAGGAGAACGCAGCCCUCCUCCCGCCCAACCGACCGAGGGGCGCUGCCGCAUGACGCUCGGAGCGAUUAACCGAACCGCGAGCAGGUAGGAAAGAUAUUUGUUAGGCUAAUAUUCGAGAGCUAAACACAACUAAACUAGAGCAAUUACAGAGUGAAUAAUUUAAGCAAAGGUCCACACAGAGACUCGGCACAGUACCUGAGUACACAGCCGGGAACUCCGUCAGGGCCCGGUGAAAAUACCGGCUUAACUAAUUGAAGUUCAUGAAGUAAGAAGCUUUCAUUAAACAAAGGGCAGAAAAUGCCAUUCGACCUUGGUAAGCUAUAUGGACACAUAUGAAUGACCUGGGUAGAUUUCCUGGGAAUAGUUUGAAAAAUGGUGCAAAAAGAUCGGCUAUUACCUGAUCAUUGUUUGCCGACAUAUUCCAAAAUGAGGAUGGAUGUGAGUAGUAAGGAUAUAGGACAGUGGUACUCGAGUAAAUUCUCACGUCGGAUAAAGUGGUUUAUGAACUAGAUAUUCGAGUAAAUUCUCACUACUUGGCGCUAGUGUUGCCUGCUAUGGGAUAUUCUGCUUAGCAAGGAUCCUUUACAGGUGUGUGUAUAGGAUAUGAUCUAGGUGCUCAUUUAAACAAAAAUGUUUUUAGUGUCCACCAUUAACAUUCAUAUAUUAUUAUAUUCCUAUAUUCC
RNAcentral lists this long non-coding RNA (1423 nucleotides) under Drosophila guanche. The record is from RNAcentral. Lineage: Eukaryota; Metazoa; Arthropoda; Insecta; Diptera; Drosophilidae.